RNAcentral lists this ribosomal RNA (299 nucleotides) under uncultured bacterium. Its description in RNAcentral is "partial 16S ribosomal RNA". It matches the Rfam family "Bacterial small subunit ribosomal RNA", at positions 475 to 776 of the family's 1533-position model. The record is from RNAcentral.
CUAUGCGCCUUGCCAGCCCGCUCAGGUGUGCCAGCAGCCGCGGUAAUACGUAGGGGGCAAGCGUUAUCCGGAUUUACUGGGCGUAAAGGGAGCGUAGACGGCAGUGCAAGUCUGGAGUGAAAGGCGGGGGCUCAACCCCCGGACUGCUCUGGAAACUGUACAGCUGGAGUGCAGGAGAGGUAAGUGGAAUUCCUAGUGUAGCGGUGAAAUGCGUAGAUAUUAGGAGGAACACCAGUGGCGAAGGCGGCUUACUGGACUGUAACUGACGUUGAGGCUCGAAAGCGUGGGGAGCAAACAGG